RNAcentral lists this long non-coding RNA (852 nucleotides) under Cyanistes caeruleus (blue tit). Its description in RNAcentral is "lncRNA (ENSCCEG00000012764.1)". Lineage: Eukaryota; Metazoa; Chordata; Aves; Passeriformes; Paridae. The record is from RNAcentral.
GUUAUAUCUAUUUUACUAUGUACCUUUGGUGGAUGAAGCGAUUCACAAUUGAACACAACUGAACCAGCAACUUAUUUAUGGAUGACAGACACUGUCACUGAUGGCUGGUUUUGGUUGCAGAGGGUAGUGACUCGUAGUCAACCAGGGGAAGAGUUUUUCUGCACAUGUGCACGUUCUAGUACUCAAGAUGAUGCAUGAAACAGAUUAAAGAAUAAGCCUCGAGGGAAGAGCUCCCUUGUGAUGAAGAAAGAAUGCUACUCUUAAAUGAGAUGCUUAGCAUCAAGUCACUGAAUCCCAGAAUCAUCAAGGCUGAAAGAGACCUUCAAGAUCAUCCAGUCCAAGCAUCAACCCAGCACCACCAUAAUUACCUCUGUACCACAUCCCCAAGUGCCCCAGCCAGACACCUCUCCAACACUUCCAGAGACAACGGCUGCACCACCUCCCUGGGCAACCUGAAGCAGGGAAACAUCUUUGAGGGACUAGAUGGACUUGCGAGAAUACCAAGAUUACUAUUGAUAUUUUCAUCAUUUAAAUGGAAAAGCAGGCUCUCAAAUUACUCUCUGCCUUGGCACAGAGUUAGAAACUGUAAAAUCUGUCCAUGAGGCUGUUUUGUGACAACAGCUGGAGAGCUGACAUUUGUGCUGUUCCUCAGCUUGACACCUUGGGAUCGCUUGAUCCCACGUAGCUGCUCAUGGGUCAGGUGUUCUCUACAGGCUCGUUACAUCAAAAUAUGUUAGAGAAAAAGGUAAUGAUGUAUGUUUUAGCCUUUUCCAUCAGGCUGUCCAGUGCACUCUUUUUAGAGGUCAUUUGAAAGCAGUGUGCAAAAUAAAUAGAGCCACAUAACACUGUGCA